ACAACUCUAGACACAAAUUAAAAUAAUACAAGCUUUAUAUUACAAGCCAGGGGCCUCGAGGGCUCGAAUACAUAAGCUCGAAUACACAAGAGUCAGCGGAAGCAACAAUAUCUGAGUACAGACAUGAGUUAGACAAGUUUGCCUUAAGAAGGCUAGCACAAAAGCAUCUACGAUCGAAAAGGCAAGGCCUCCUGCCUGGGAGCCUCCUAACUACUCCUGACCGUCGGCGGUCUCCACGUAGUAGGAAGCACCCUCGGGGUAGUAGUAGUCAUCGGUGGUGUCGUCUAGAUCCUGGGCUCCACCAUCUGGUUGCAUCAACCGGAAAGAAGAAGAAAGGGGGAAAAAGGGGAAGCAAAGCAACCGUGAGUACUCAUCCAAAGUGCUCGCAAGCAAGGAUCUACACUACAUAUGCAUCGGUAUCAAUGAAAAUGGGUGUAUCUGUGGACUGGACUGCAGAAUGCCAGAAGAGAAGGGGAAAGCCUAGCCUAUCGAAGACUAGCAUCUUCUGGAAACCACCAUCUUGCAGCAACCGGAGGGAGUAGAGUAGCAUAAAGUAAAGUAGUAGAGGUGUUAUCAACCUUGGCCAGAGAUCCUUUCUCGACUCCCUGCGAGAAAGCAAUCCCAGAGCCAUACUAUCCAGUUCCAAUCAUAAUCCAAUUCUCAUAUCCAUGUCUCAUCUCAAGUAUCCAGUUCUAGUUGUAUCGAUCGGGAUACAACUCCAAGUGUCCGUUACCAUAGGACAGGCUAUCGAUAGAUGUUUUCUUCCCUGCAGGGGUGCACCAACUUACCCACCACACUCGAUUAACUCCGGUCGGACACACUUUCCUGGGUCAUGCCCGGCCUCGGCCAAACAAUAAGCCGCAACCCGACCUAGGCUUAAUAGAGAGGUCAGCACGCCGGACUAAACCUAUGCCCCCAGGGGUCAUGGGCCAUCUCCCCGGGAACUCCUGCACGUUGCGUACGCGGCCGGUGAGCAGACCUAGAUACCUCCUUCAAAAAGGCAGGUGCUUAUGCAGUCCAACCCGGCGCGCGCCGCUCAGUCGCUGACGUCUAUUAAGCUUCGGCUGAUGCAUACGACGCAGAACGCCCAUACUAUGCCCACGUGAUGGUUAGUGCUAUCAGGCCAGAGGCCCCUUGGAUCAAAUAUCCUAAUCGUAGUGGAUUAGGAGCACGCGGUAACAAGCAGAGACUCACGAAAGAUGUGACCCCGUUGCCCCGGCUCGAGGACUUGCGGCAAGGGCUAGGAAUGCCCGGCCACGCCUCGUAAUUAUCUCGCGGGCACCCUCCAAGUCAACCCGUCUCCACAUCACUCGCAAUUAAGCUCGCGCGGGUACCCCUCAGGGCCGACCCGUCUUUAGUAACAUGGUUCAGUGUAAAGUCAUAGUAACCAUAGUAACUGUGUGUCUAACACCAAGGGGAAAACCUGAGGAAUCACCCUUGACGGAUUCCCCUCGAUGUAAUCAUCAAGGUGAACGUAAGAGGAACCACCCUCGAAGUUCACACUUGAGGGGUUGCACGACAGAGUCGUAUCGGAAGUGGUUAAGGCGGAAUCACCCUCGAUGACCACGACCGAAUAGUUACACUACAGGGUAACAUCAGAAGUGCUGUAGAGGUCUCACCCUCGGCACUCGAUAGUAACCCAGUAGUGUCGAGCAACUAAGGGGAAAGUGAUGUGCGGUGCCGGGGCCUGGUCUUCGAUCCCGUUGAUCGGGUCUUCGAUGAUGAAGCAGGGGCAACAGGGACAAGGUGGGGGUCACUGAUGGAUCACUAACCAACCUAUACUAAGCAGGUAAGGUAUGAAAGCAGGUACAAAAGCAGGCUAUGCAUCAAAAUAGGAGCAAACAAUAACAGUAGCAAAAUCUAAUGCAAGCAUGAGAGAAUGGAAUGGGCGAUAUUGGGAUGAUCAAAGGGGGGGCUUGCCUGGUUGCUUUGGCAAGAAGGAGAGGCGUCGUCGAUGUAGUCGAUCACGGGGGUAUCGGCAGCGGUCUCGGGGUCUACCGGAAAGAAGUAACAGAGGGAGAACACAAUAAAUAAUAGAGCAAUCAAAGCGUCACAAAGCAGAACAUGGCAAUACGCCGUGCUAGGGGUGACCUAACGCAGUAGGAGGUGACACCGACAAAUCGGGGAAACAUCCGAGGAAGUAUUCCCGGUGUUUCGCGUUUUCGGACAAAUGAAACGGAGGUGGAAUGUUGCAUGUUCUCUAUGCUAGGGACGUGUGGCGGAAGAAGGGGCUGCGUAUUCGGAUUCGCCUCGCCGUUCUGAGCAACUUUCAUAUAUAAAACUUUUUCAUCCGAGAUACGGUUUAUUAUCUAUUAUUUUCUAAAGUUUUAACCAUUUUCUGGAAUUUAUUUAAUUCAAGAAUAAGUAUCUAAAUACUUUUGUCACAUGGGGCUGUGUAGCAAGGGGGUAUGACAGUGGGGCCGGUGGGUCCAGUCAGCAGUAGUUGACCAGUCAAAGUUGACUGGUCAACUGGGUCAAUGGACCCACAUGUAAGUGUAACAUGUGUUAAAAUUAUUUAGUUAAACAAUUUACCUAGUGGGGACCACAUGUAAUAGACGUGGGGUGGCUAGUACUAAAGAGGGAUUAGUCCCUAAUUGAUUUUUGGGCGGGCUUGGUGGCAAAGUGAGGUUGUGCACCACACGCACAUAGCAUGGCCUCGGCCAUGGCCAUUUUUAGCGGCUACAGCAGCAGCUAAGUAGCGGCAGCAUGAGGUAGUAGCACCGGCAAGCAAGCAAUACCAGCAGCAGCGCGCGGCAGGCAACAGCAAAGCAGCGGAGCGACAGAAACAAUUAGCGACGGCCGGGCAGCAGCGCAGCAGCAAGCAGCACCGGCAUGAGCAGCAGCAGCCGCAUCAGGGCAGCACAGCAGCAGGCACGUGGGGAGGGCGUGGGCACACGCGAGGACCAAGGGUGCGGCGCGGGCGCGUGUGGCCGGCGGAUGCGCGGCCAUGAGCUAGAGAGCUCGUACGCGGACGCAAAGCUACGGCCAUGGCGACUACAACGAGCACAAGGCGAAGGCUACGACUACGGAUCGAAGGGGAAAACGAGGGGAAAUGGUCGAGGAGCUCACCCCGGGGCUUGUGGACAGCUCGGUUGCCGCGGGGACGGAUCGGAGCAGCGACAACCGUCGACGAGAUGUGGCGGCCGUGGGCGAAGACGACAGCGAUGGCGAGCGUACGGAGCGUCUCGGCUCGGGUUCCUCGGUGGAGAGGAAGGAGACGACCGCGAGGAGGCUGCUGGAUGUCUCCUUAGGUGCCGGGGAGGUCGGUGGCCACCGGAUCGACGAGGCGGCGGCGAUGGUGGCGGCGGGCGGCUUCUGUAACGGGAGAGGGAGAGCGGGGAAAGGGGGAGAAGAAGCUAGGGUUCGAGGAGGGGCACGGGGCGACGCCUUAUCGUCCUAGGAAGCCGUGGGAUCGUCGGCACGUCGUCCAGGGGGCGCGGCCAUGGC
This 3447-nucleotide long non-coding RNA is filed under the name Triticum aestivum (bread wheat). RNAcentral describes it as "long non-coding RNA (TAES_LNC023733)". The record is from RNAcentral. Lineage: Eukaryota; Viridiplantae; Streptophyta; Magnoliopsida; Poales; Poaceae.